GAUGAACGCUGGCGGCGUGCCUAAUACAUGCAAGUUGAACGCUGAAGGUGGGGACUUCUACUCAGUGGAUGAGCCGCAAACGGGUGUGUCACGCGGGGGGACUCUGCCGUAGCGGGGGGGAAAACUUUUGGAAGCGAAUUCUAAUACCACAUCAACACUUAAAACAUGAUAAUUAAGUUAGAAAGAUACCAUUUCAUCAACCAAAUGUACUUCCGCGUUGUAUUAGCUAGUUGGUGAGGUAAAGGCUCACCAAGGCGAUGAUACAUAGCCGACCUGAGAGGGUGAUCGGCCACACUGGGACUGAGACACGGCCCAGACUCCUACGGGAGGCAGCAGUAGGGAAUCUUCGGCAAUGGACGAAAGUCUGACCGAGCAACGCCGCGUGAGUGAAGAAGGUUUUCGGAUCGUAAAGCUCUGUUGGUAGAGAAGAACGUGGGUGAGAGUGGAAAGUUCACACAGUGACGGUAACUUACCAGAAAGGGACGGCUAACUACGUG
RNAcentral lists this ribosomal RNA (497 nucleotides) under uncultured bacterium. Its description in RNAcentral is "partial 16S ribosomal RNA". It matches the Rfam family "Bacterial small subunit ribosomal RNA", at positions 28 to 507 of the family's 1533-position model. The record is from RNAcentral.